CUCCGCGCCGCGGAGCGGACUUAAAUAUCCCAGGAUACACCGCGCCGCGCGCCGCCGCCUACGUCACUGUCCUCGACGCGGCGCGCCGGGUGAAAAGGGGAACUGCCGCAGCGUGCGGAGCGAGGCGCGAGAGCGUAUUUUGAAAAAUACAGUUUGGAUAGGCGUAUUGGUGCAGGCUUUUACUCUCAGAACGCAGGGGGCAGAGGCAGGAGGAUUUCUGUGAGUUUGAGCCCAGCCUGGUUCACAAAGAGAAUUACAGAGCGGCAUAGAGACAUAAAUCCUGUCUCAAAACAGCAAAAACUAAAAAAUAAGAAAGAAAAAAAAAUAUAGCCCGUCUGACAGCCGGUUUGGACGCUUGAGGUUUCCCUGACGCUCCCGGACUGCGGAAGAGUGGUGGUAGAAAUCAAGGCACAGAGCCAAGAUUGGUGGCACAUUAAUGUAAUCCCGGCAUUUGGAAGGUGAAGGCAGGAGGAUCCCCAGUUCUAAGUCAACAUGGGCUACUUAGUGAGACUCCUCUCUGCCUCAAAACAAAACCCGAUCAAUCAAACCCUACGUGGAAGCUCACUGUUAAUCCCAGAGGUCAGUUCCAGGCCAGCUGGAACUACACAGUGAGACCCUGUCAAAAUAAUUUUUUAAAAUAUUUAUGUAUGUGAGCACACUGUAGCUGUCUACAGACACAAGAAGAGGACAUCAGAUUCCAUUACAGGUGGUUGUGAGCCACCAUGUGGUUGCUGGGAAUCGAACUCAGGACCUCUGGAAGAGCAGUCAGCGCUCUUAACCGCUGAGCCAUCUCUCCAGCCCCAAUAAAUAAUUUUUUCCCCCCAGAGCUGAGGACCGAACCCAGGGCCUUGUGCUUGCUAGGCAAGCACUCUACCACUGAGCUAAAUCCCCAACCCCAAUAAAUAAUUUUUUAAAUGUGUGUUUUGCCUGAAUAUAUGCUGGGAUUACAUUUGCACGCCACCACAUCUGACUUACUCUUUUGUGUAUGUACGUGUGUAUGCAUGCAUGGAGGUUGAAAAUCAACAGCAGUGUCUUUCUCAAUUACACUCGACCUUAUUUUUUUUGACACAGGGUCUCUCACUGAACCCAGAUAUCAUUAACUGGCUAGGCUGGCUGGUCAGAAAACAAAAACAAAAAAAUCUUUGUGUCUACCUCUGUGUUUGGGAUUACAGGGACUCCCUGCUGUGCCCAGCUGGGGACUGAACCCAAGCGCUCUACCACUGAGCUAAAUCCCCAACCCCUAAUAAGCAGCUUUCUUGUAUGGUCUCUGCUUCAGUUCCUGCCUCCAGGUAUUUGCCAAAUCCCUUCAACGAUGGACUAUGAUGUGGAAGUGUAAGCCAAAUAAAUCCUUUUCUCCCCAUGAUAUUUUUGGUCAUGCUUUUUUUUUUCCUCUCACAACAACAGAAACCCAACCUAACAGGUAAAUCCCUUGCUUUACUUUCAUCUCUAGAACCCAAGUUAAAACCCAGUUGCAGCCUGGUCAAAAGAGUGAGUUUCAGGACAGCCAGCGGAAAAACAAAACAAAACCCACCGCAACUGAAAAAUUUUAAAGCUCCUUUAAAAUGUUCGUUUUACUUAUUUUUUGUGUACAAGUGUUUUGCCUGCCUGCAUGCCUAUGUACCGUGUGCGUGCCUGGUGCCACUGGAGGUCAGAAGAGGGAGUCGGAGCCACAAGAACUGGAGUUAUGAAUGGUUGUCAGUUGCCCGAAUGAUGAUGCUGGGAAAAGCACCUGGGUCCCCUAGAAGAACAAGUGCUCUUAAAUGCCGAGCCAUCUCUCUAGCUCAGCUUCUAGGGUUUAUUGUUGUCGUUGUUGUUUGUUUGGGUCUCACGUAGCUCAGGCUGGCUUCACAAUGUAGCUGGGGUUACAUUGAAUUCCUGACCUUCCAAUUUUUUAGAAGAUUUAUUUAUUUAUCGUAAGUACACCGUCGCUGCCUUCAGACACACCAGAAGAGGGCAUCGGAUCUCAUUACAAUGGUUGUGAGCCACCAUGUGGUUGCUGGGAUUUGAACUCGGGACCUCUGGAGGAACAGUCAGUGCUCUUAACCACUGAGCCACCUCUCCAGCCCCUAACCUUCAAUUUUUAUCUCCUGAGUACUGGGGUCCCAGAUGUAAGGGCUACCAUGUCCCACCUCAAAUUUGGUUUUACCUUCUGGGGGAUAGGCAUCAAACACACUCGCAACUUCCUGUCGCAUACAGAGGUUCCAAAGGUACUGUGAUUGGCUGUUCCUGAGCCCUCCAGCCUAUGACCCAGGACAAGCCCUCCCUCUUCACACAGUGAUGGCAAUUGUGAUGCCGUCCAUUGUGAUGUCACCUCCGGCUUAUGUAAAAGGUAAACUUGGUGUGCUGUGGGCUCACACCAAGGCAGGGGAGUAAAUCCCCUUUGCCUGAAGUUUGAGAAUGAAAUUUCUAUCCAUUGGCCAGUCUGUGGUGAUUCACACUUAUAAUCCUGACACUUGGGAUAUGGAGGCAGGGGGAUGAGAAGUUCAAGGACAUCCUAGGUGACAGAGUUGAGUUUGAGGCCAGCCUUUGAUACAGGAACAGGAGGACCCAGGGCGUAAAACCAAAGGUGAGGGAGAAACUAAGACAUUCUCAGAUAAAGAAACUAAGGAAAUGUCUUGAUAAUGUAACAAGCCUUGGAAACAGCUUUGGCUACAAAGCACCGCUUCCUCUCAUGGAACCCACAGCAAUCGUUGGCAAGGGCAGUGAGACAGACGGCUCAGCAGUUCUAAGUACUCGGUGACCUGAAUUUAACCCACAUGGAAGACGGCAACAAUCAACCCUUGAAAGUCUUCUGAGUGUGUACUCUGGCACCAAAGGACUUCACACACACACACACACACACACACACACACACACACACACACACACACACAAAUUAGGUUUUUCUUUUUUCUUUUUCUUUUUUUAAAGUAGAAGCAGGCAGCCGGAAGUGGUAACUCACAUCUUUAUCUUUAAUUCCAGGGUUUGGGAGGCAGAGGCAGGAGGAUCUCUCUGUUGGAGCCCAGCCUGGUCUACAGAGUGAGUUAGUUCCAGGACAACCAGACCUACACAAAGAAACCCUGUCUUGAAAAACAAAACAAAAAACCCCAAACCAAACAAAUAACAAGCAAUGAAAAAACCAGAAGCAGGCUGAAAAACCUCCAUUUUGUGUGUCUCCUUCCACUGGAGCCGGCCCCUUACCUCUGUUAUGUAGGUGGUCAGUCAUUCAAGCUAAUGUCUGUACCACUCCCCUCCAAAGCUGAACCGAGGCAUCUAAUUGUCAGCUUCUUACGUCUUUUUCAGACGCCUGAAAGAUUCCUAAAGUCACCAGUUAUUCUAAACUAGAAACCACUAGGAGCAUCCAAGGUCAGAGCCAUUGCUCGACACCGGGGGACACUGGUUCACUACAGAGGUGGCUUCUGGAGCAGGCACAGUCCCCUCCUGAGAACCUGCUUGUCCUGUCAAGUGAUAAGGAUUUCUUCAGGCCAUUUGGCAGAAGCAGAACUCAGGCAGUGAUGAACCAGACCCACCCUACUUUUAAUUACACAUAGUCCUCUACUCCUGGGCCCUAAACAUGAACUAAGAUCACUAGACCCUUUUAUCUCUCCCACUUUCUUUUUUUUAAAAGACACACCAGAAGAGGGCAUCAGAUCUCAUUAUAGAUGGCUGUGAGCCACCAUGUGGUUGCUGGGAUUUGAACUCAGGGACCUCAGGAAGAGUAGUCGGUUCUCUUAACCGCUGAGCCAUCUCUGCAGCCCUCUCUCCCCCUUUCUAACAGGCAUUUAAAAGUAAAGAAAUUCGUUUACACUCCAAUGUGUGGUUUUUCGAGACAAGAGUUUUUCUUCUGCACAGCCUGGGUUGUCUUGGAACUUGCUCUGUAGAACAGGCUCACACUCAGAGAUCUGCCUGCCUCUGCCUCCCAAACGCUGGGAUGAAAGGUGUGCAUUGCAUGCCUAGGCUGAGCCUUUUUUUUUUUUUUUUUUUAAGAUUUAUUCAUUAUAUAUAAGUACACUGUCACUGUCUUCAGAUACACCAGAAGAGGGCAUCAGAUCUCUUUACAGAUGGUUGUGAGCCACCAUGUGGUUGCUGGGAAUUGAACUCAUGACCUCUGGAAGAGCAGUCGGGUGCUCUUAACCGCUGAGCCAUCUCUCCAGCCUGGCUGAGCCUUUAAUAUACCAAGAAGUAACAAAGCCGCCCGUGUAAAAAUGUGGUCCUUCCCAGAAUUAUCUUCAGUCUCCCCUGCAAUGUCAUCUGACAAGCUGCAGGACUGUGAGAAAUCUCUUCCUGGGAGAUCAAAAAUAUUCUUCCCUGUCAUCUAUCCCUCCUCAAUUGGGUUGGAAUUUUCCCUGCCUGACUCCUGGCUGCUGCAUUACAAACAUAUGCUGCCAACCAGCGCUCUCCCGCCUCCGAGGCAACUAUAAAGAGUUGAGCAGUCUGUCAUUUAUGUAUUUUAGAUUUAUUUCCAGUGUUUUCCACGUAUGUAUAUCCACGCCACAUACAUGCCCCGUCACGAAGAGGUCAGAAGAGGGCACUGGGUCUCCUGGAACCAAACAGUUGCGAGGCACCACUCGGGUGCUGGGAACUGAACCCAGGUCCUCUGAAAGAGCAGCAAAGGCUCAUGAACACGGAGCCAUCUCCCCAGCCCCCUGCUUUGUCCUUUAGUGUUUCUUUCUUCCUGAAAAACCAUGGAAACUCUAUAAAGCCAUUUUCAUUCCCAGUACUUUCCAACGCCAGGGACAGAUGGUAACUCGUCUUUUCCUUUGUUCUUCACUUCCUUUUGGUAGGUUUUAUUUAUUUUUCUUUCAGUAUAGUUUUAAAGUUUAUUACUUUACAUGUCAGCGGGGUUGUUCUGCAUCCAUGCAUAUAUACACACGUCCACCACAGAAGUGCCUGGUGGUGCCCUGAAAGGAUCAGGAGAGGCCUUCAGAUUCCUCUGAGCCUUGACAUUACAGACAACAUUGCGAGCUACCAUACGGUGAUGGGAAUCCAGUCUGCUGCCAAGAGCGACCACAUGCUCUAAGCAGCUCAGACCAUGCUUCAACUCUUACUACAUUACUUUGAAUUAUUUUUUUUGAGACAAGUUCUUAACUAUCUGUAGCCCUCACCAGCCUGAAACUUGCUAAGUAGGUAAGGUUCAUUAAGAACUCACAAAGAGGGGCUGGGGAUUUAGCUCAGUGGUAGAGCGCUUACCUAGGAAGCGCAAGGCCCUGGGUUCGGUCCCCAGCUCCGGAAAAAAGAACAAAACAAAAAACAAACAAAAAAAAAAAAAAAAAAAAAAAAGAAGAACUCACAAAGAAA
Non-coding RNA from Rattus norvegicus (Norway rat), 5277 nucleotides. The record is from RefSeq and is a predicted model, not a curated record. NCBI's taxonomy places the organism in Eukaryota, Metazoa, Chordata, Mammalia, Rodentia, Muridae.